CACCAACCACCGGAGGAACCACCUCCACCGCAGCGCCACCACCAACCAAAUCCAAGGAACCGCACUCCUGAGCAACGAAACUCGCAUUCUCUUCUCCUCCUCCACCUCCCUCCGCGGCCAGGUCUGCGGAAACGGCAUCAACGACACCACUCAUCUCAGCGACGGGAUUCAAAACCGCAGCGGCGGUGUCAACCGCAUCAAUUCCUUUCGCACCCGUAGCUCCAUCGCACCCGCCGCCUUCCUCGGCGGCAACGGAAGAUUCGCCGCACGGUCCUGUGAGAAUAGGG
RNAcentral lists this long non-coding RNA (287 nucleotides) under Brassica napus (rape). RNAcentral's name for it is "long non-coding RNA (BNAP_LNC000157)". The record is from RNAcentral. Lineage: Eukaryota; Viridiplantae; Streptophyta; Magnoliopsida; Brassicales; Brassicaceae.